Molecule: non-coding RNA, 85 nt
Organism: Mycena epipterygia
Lineage: Eukaryota; Fungi; Basidiomycota; Agaricomycetes; Agaricales; Mycenaceae
Source: the annotation of a GenBank genome assembly
UGCCCCGUGGUCUAAUGGUACGAUACCAGCAAGCUCUAAUAUUUUGAUCAGCUGGAGAUUGUGAGUUCGAUUCUCGCCGGAGCUU